AGUGAACGCUGGCGGUAGGCCUAACACAUGCAAGUCGAACGGCAGCACAGUAAGAGCUUGCUCUUACGGGUGGCGAGUGGCGGACGGGUGAGGAAUACAUCGGAAUCUACUUUUUCGUGGGGGAUAACGUAGGGAAACUUACGCUAAUACCGCAUACGACCUACGGGUGAAAGCAGGGGAUCUUCGGACCUUGCGCGAUUGAAUGAGCCGAUGUCGGAUUAGCUAGUUGGCGGGGUAAAGGCCCACCAAGGCGACGAUCAGUAGCUGGUCUGAGAGGAUGAUCAGCCACACUGGAACUGAGACACGGUCCAGACUCCUACGGGAGGCAGCAGUGGGGAAUAUUGGACAAAGGGCGCAAGCCUGAUCCAGCCAUACCGCGUGGGUGAAGAAGGCCUUCGGGUUGUAAAGCCCUUUUGUUGGGAAAGAAAAGCAGCAGGUUAAUACCCCGCUGUUCUGACGGUACCCAAAGAAUAAGCACCGGCUAACUUCGUG
RNAcentral lists this ribosomal RNA (492 nucleotides) under uncultured bacterium. RNAcentral describes it as "partial 16S ribosomal RNA". It matches the Rfam family "Bacterial small subunit ribosomal RNA", at positions 29 to 507 of the family's 1533-position model. The record is from RNAcentral.